GCAUCGGUAGUGCAACGGUUAGCAUACGCUCCCGGAAAGAGUGAGGUCUGGGUUCGAAUCCCGGAAACUAGGUGACA
This is a non-coding RNA of Parelaphostrongylus tenuis, 77 nucleotides long. NCBI's taxonomy places the organism in Eukaryota, Metazoa, Nematoda, Chromadorea, Rhabditida, Metastrongylidae. The record is from the annotation of a GenBank genome assembly.